CUCAAGGCAAAAGCUCUGUAUUUCCCCAGGCUCCGACACGUGUCAUGGCCAGAAGGAGGGAUGCUGGGUUGGGUCCUGGAGCUCCCUCUGCGAGAGAAGUUAAGAAAGUUUACAGCUUUGUCUUGAGACAUUUGCUGAAGUCAUGUUUCAAGAGGCAAAUCACAUCUGCUGCAACAUGAACCGACCACCAGGCAGUAAGAUGCACAGGUUCUCAGGCUCUGAGACCCUAUGGGAAAUUGCCUAUAGGGCCCCACAGCCUGGGAAACUGGCCUAGAGGUUUUAUGAAGUGACUAAUAUCCUACAGGGAACAGCCGGGUCCCAGGACUUGCAUCAUGGUCAGCAGACCGGCCCCUCUCUGAGCAACACCCUUGGGAUUAUUCACGUCCAUCUGGAAGAAACUAGUCUCUGAGUUUGAUUCAGGACUUCUUUCUCUUUCCCACCUCUUACCCCAGCCAUGUAAUUUGCACAUCGUUUUAUAUUUUCUAUUGGGAAAUCACAAAGCAUCUAAAAGGCAAGCAGUGGUUCUCAAGCUGCAGCCAAAGGAUCAGCUUGUUUUACUCAAGUGAAACCAGAACCCAGGCUGGAGCCUCGCAGAGAGGAGGGAUUUGGAAAAUACUCCUUGAGUGGAAUUCAGUGAUUUGUUUAAGAAACACCAGAGGCUUUCGCACAAUCCCUUUUUCCUGAAGCCAACUCUGCUGAGGAUGUGAUGUGGAUACGGAUUACAGGGACCAUCCUCCAUUGUUUUAUGAGUCUAUCACAGAUUAUGACGGACAUGGAACAUGGAAACCAGUUUCUACCAAAGCCUGUGAGGACCAUUCUGUACAAAUUGGGAGAGAGUGCACAGAAGCCUGGAGAGCUGACCGGGGAGGAGGGCCACAGUGCAUUGCGUCCAGCCCUCUUCCACCCUUGCACUCUUAGCUGCUCUCAUCCCCGUCUGCUCACACCUUGCUUACAGUUCUUAUCAAAUAUCUGGAACACAGAAGAGCUUAUUACAUGUUGUGUGGAUGGAUUAAGCUUGCUAAGCUAUUUGGAAACAGGAAGAAAAAGCAUGCCCAGAAUUUGGAGACCACCCAUGGAAAGGCAUGACCUCCACUGGGUGUUCAGGACUUGAGGUGGUCAGUAUUUCUGCUCCUUCCCAGCAGACCAACUUGCUCCCACUCAGCCCCAUGGCUUGCCUUCUCUUCCUUGGAAAUCUUCUUACAUGCCUCUUGUUGCCUGGCCAUCCCAGGAAGGAAGCACCCAUGUCUUCUACACUCCCAGUUGCUUAAAACAAAUAUGCUUCCCCUGCUCAGAUAACCAUUGGCAGGGCUAAGGAUCCUAAAAACCAUGGGUUUUUAAUACCGGGAAAGUGCUACUCUGUAGGGAUCCUCUAGCCCACCAUUGUUUCCUUUAUGGAAACUGAGGCUUGGAGAAUGCAAGUGGCUCUCUCAAAGCUUCAUAAAAUUCACUGGGAGGUCUGGGCUGGAGUCCAGGUGUUUUGAUUCAUUUGUCAUUGCUCUUUAUAGUCUGGAUUUAUAGAUGCAUAUUUCUAUGUAGACUUGUUGAUAAACUUUACAUUGACACCUAAGACAUUAUAUUUCCUUUUCUAUCAAGACAAUGUUUAAAGCAAGACAAACAACUAAAGAAAACCAAAAUAAUGUGGUUUACAUGCUAGGAGAAGAACAGUCUUGUAGCCAACAUAAAUGAGCUCUCAUGGAAACCUCUGCCCGCCAAGAACACUUAACCUCCACGAAUGACAUCUGUGCCACAAGGGUGGAGCUCGAAGUCCCAGUCUGCCUCUGGCUGGAGCCCUCAAGAAGGUAGAGACCUGCUUAAACCUCCAAAAGUCAAUUUUCUACACCAGCAGCAUACAGGGGAAAGAAAGUAGAACAAAUUAAAGAGAAAACAAAUCAAAGGAUGAAGGGGAAGAGGAAAUCCCUCUCAUAUGGAGCAGACAUGGAGGCAAAGUUGAGCA
RNAcentral lists this long non-coding RNA (1954 nucleotides) under Homo sapiens (human). Its description in RNAcentral is "HSALNT0365734". Lineage: Eukaryota; Metazoa; Chordata; Mammalia; Primates; Hominidae. The record is from RNAcentral.